CUAGAAGGACAACCGACACCUUCUUCUUCAACUCUCCCACAACUCUCUCCUCCAACUUUUACAUCUUUCGUCAAUUCAAUCACCGAUUUCUUACAAGCUUAAAACAUCAAUUUAAUCAUCCUGAUCUGCAGUAAAACUAUAUCAAAUCACAAAAAAAAAGUUCCAAAUAAAUAAAGAUCUGCUUUGAUACAUCUCCGUAAUUUUCUUUCCUCUACCGACGCUGCUCAACAUCAACUAUGGUUUAAAAUUUUAUUACAAUUUUUUAUUAAAAAAAAGAAGAAGCUUACAGUUAAUUCCCGUCAGUUCCAUCGAAACCAGAAUUUUCAUUCACCGGUUCACGCCGUUUCAUCUCUCGGGCUCUCUCAGUCUCCUAUCAAUUCCCAUUCUUUCACCCAAAUACUUCUGUGUUUACUCUCCCCCAUUUUCCUCUCCAGUUGAAUGGCAACUUUGAUUAUUAUAUAGAUUUUAUCUCAUGUUUUUCAUCUCAUGAAUAAUUUGUUUUAUUAUUUGAUCUUCUUCAAUUAAACUCCCAGCGAAUAAAACGCUCACUUCUCUUCCUCUUUGAUCCACUGCAAACACUGGACCCAAUCACCAAAGGUGCCUGAUGCUGAAUGCAAUUUCAAUUUUAGAUUCAUUGAUUUUCCGAUAUCUUUCUCCACUGUGGAGUUCAACACAAUAAUGUUCAAGGAGGAGGAGAGAGAAGAAACAGAACAUCUUUAGGAGACAAUUAGAUAUGUAGCAACUUCAAGAGGGAGAUUAACUGUUGAUGUGGAUGGUAUUGUAAAACCUCAAGCAAUUAACCGUCCCCUCACUAGGAGAGUCUACGCGCAAUUACUUGCUGCAAGUGCACAAGGCCACAAGCAGAUGCCGAGAAAAAGAAGAUUGAUUUGCAGAAACAAGGACAACAAGUCCAUUAAUUCCUCUAAUUCUGAAGUUUCAGAUCAGGUGUUUUGAAUCAUGGCUGGCGGAGUGACAGAUACUAUUGUUCGAAGAAGAAGAGUGAUUGAAUUUAUGAUGAUAUUUGUAGUUGCUUACCACCUGGGUACUUCAAACAAAUCCACUGCUAAUUACGAACAAUAUGAGUUAAUCAUAUUUCAUUGUGCUCCUCAUAUUGGAAAUAUGGCGGAUUCUAUGGUCUAUUCCCAUUGCUUUAAGGUAUGAAUUGUCUCACUUUUCACAAUUGUUGGACCCUUCUUUUGGUUUAGUCUUGAAUUGUGACUUUUAAUUUCAUUGUUAGUUUUCGGGAAGUUUUGAACAUUGCAUGUUGAAAUUUGGUUCAAUGAACCAAGCUACCGUAUUUCUAUGGAAAUUAUGCCUGCAGUUAGCCAAUUUUGGAUAGUGGAACCUGUUUGAUUACCCAAAAACAAUGACUUUUUUUGAAGAGCUUGAGUUUGGAUAGCAAGGGAAGCUUUCUAACAUGUUAAACAUGUAGGUUUAGAGGAAUGAUAAUGCAUGUUGUGUGAUUAGUCUAUCAUAUACUUUCCAAGUAAUGGUAGGAAGAUAGAUUUCCAUAGUUGAAUAUUAUGGGUUUAUUUGUUUAUGAAGUCUUAUGACGAUUAUUAUUGAAUAUGACUUCAUUGAGUUAUUUCGUAAUAGUAUAGAUCAAAUAUUUUCUUAGGUUUAAUGUGAAGGGAAUUACAUAGAAGGCGUUCUUUGAUUGAAUUUUCUUAUGAACUUUUCAAACGUUUGCCAAAACAUGUUUGAUCUACAAUAGAAACUUAUUAGGGUGUUUACUAAGAACCUAAACCACCUCAUCAAUCGCCUGAAUUUCAUGUCUUUCAUACUUAUUUAUAACUCGAUUUUUGUUAAUUUGAUUUUCUUUUAUACAUUUAUUUGAGUUAUUAAAAAUUGUUCAAAUUUUAAGAUCUGGCAAUGGCAUCUCUUCGUUGGCGUUAAUGUUGGUUGCAAGUUUGCUGCGGAUGAUAAGGAGUAAUUAGAAUAAGAGAAAUGUACAGUAAAGUUGGGGUCUUCGUAUAAUUAACCAUUAGAAUUAAUGGUCACCAGAGAAUUAAGAUCAUAAAAGAUUAUAUUUGUGUUUUCUUUUGUGAGACAUGGAUGUGUUUGACUAAGGAAGCAGAGGGAUGGAAUAUGAAAAAUCUAGAGAUAAUAAUUUAUCAUUGUGUGUUUUAUUUUGGUUUUGUAAAAACGUAAAAACAAAAUGAAAAUUAGUUUUCAGUUUUGUAAAGACUUAAAACACAAAAUAGAACUUGGUACCGCACAGACCCUUAAUGAGUGAUUUGUUGAUGUCAAUUGAGCUUUUUUUCUUAUCAGUAAAGCAUAAGAUUUUUUGGGUUCAGAUUGUAUCUCAAUAUGGUAAAUUAGAUUGAGAUGUUGAAUUGGUGUUUGUCAACCCAAGAAGAUUAACAACUGGUUUAUCAACCAAAGGGUCAGGGCCAACUGCUACAACAGCUCUCAGUCUGCGAAUACUCUCAAGUCCACGCCCAAGAGAUUAAAGGGAAAAGAAUAAGAGUCGUCAACAUCAUAGCAAAUGAAUAGAUCCGUUAAUGUGGAAUGCAGGACAUCAACAAGACAAGGAUGGAUUUAUUUUUAUCUAAUGUUAGGUAUUGUAAUCACAUUAGAGUCUUUUAAAAAAUAUUUUUAGAUUGUCUAAUCUGUUUGAUUUUACCUAUUAUGUUAGGGAUAACUUUUAAAGAAUGUACUAUUAAAACUCUAAUUAUGUAUUGUACAUAAUUAAGCUUUCAUGUAACUAUUAGACAUAUUAAAGAAUUAUAGUCUUUCAUAGAGUUAAAAUUUUCCAAA
Long non-coding RNA from Spinacia oleracea (spinach), 2760 nucleotides. RefSeq lists it as uncharacterized. The record is from RefSeq and is a predicted model, not a curated record. Lineage: Eukaryota; Viridiplantae; Streptophyta; Magnoliopsida; Caryophyllales; Amaranthaceae. The transcript is spliced from 6 exons.